Dipodomys ordii (Ord's kangaroo rat) is the source of this 108-nucleotide small nuclear RNA. The record is from Ensembl. NCBI's taxonomy places the organism in Eukaryota, Metazoa, Chordata, Mammalia, Rodentia, Heteromyidae.
AUGCUCGCUUGGACAGCACAUAUUCUAAAAUUCGAAUGACACAGAGAAGAUUGGCAUGGCCCCUGCCCAAGGAUGACAAAUUUGUGAAGCAUUCCAUUAAAAAUUUUU